This 525-nucleotide ribosomal RNA is filed under the name Micrixalus nudis (naked torrent frog). Its description in RNAcentral is "partial 16S ribosomal RNA". It matches the Rfam family "Bacterial large subunit ribosomal RNA", at positions 1857 to 2599 of the family's 2925-position model. Lineage: Eukaryota; Metazoa; Chordata; Amphibia; Anura; Micrixalidae. The record is from RNAcentral.
GCCUGCCCAGUGACAACAUUUAACGGCCGCGGAACCCUAACCGCGCGAAGGUAGCAUAAUCACUUGUUUCCUAAAUAGAGACUAGUAUCAACGGCAUCACGAGGGUUAAACUGUCUCCCUCCCCCAAUCAGUGAAACUGAUCUCCCCGUGAAGAAGCGGGGAUAAACUUAUAAGACGAGAAGACCCUAUGGAGCUUUAGGCCCGAUAAGCAACUUAUGAAAACAAAACUACACACAAAUAAGACCUGCUACUCCACCUUAGGUUGGGGCGACCGCGGAGUAAAACAAAACCUCCACAACAAACAGAACUACACUUUAAUCCAAGAGCUACUACUCUAAGAAUAGAUAAAUCAAUGUAAAAUGACCCGAUAAUCGAUUAAUGAACCAAGUUACCCUAGGGAUAACAGCGCAAUCCAUUUCAAGAGCCCCUAUCAACAAAUGGGUUUACGACCUCGAUGUUGGAUCAGGGUAUCCCAGUGGCGCAACCGCUACUAAUGGUUCGUUUGUUCAACGAUUAAAACCCUAC